Molecule: ribosomal RNA, 560 nt
Filed under: Basidiomycota sp. B14
Lineage: Eukaryota; Fungi; Basidiomycota
Description: eukaryotic LSU rRNA
Rfam family: 5.8S ribosomal RNA (bases 205-358)
Source: RNAcentral
UCAUUAACGAAUUACUGGAGAGUUGAUGCUGGCAAUAAACUAAUUGCAAGUGCUCACUGUCUUAAUUUCAUCUGCACCUGUGCACUCUUGUAUACAUGCUUGAAAGGAGCCCAAGUGGCUUGGUUCAGGCAUGUAGACAAAUCUCACAAACUCUUUAUAAUAAAUCCUGAAUGUUCUUUUGCUGCAAGGCAAAAACUUUAUAACAACUUUUAACAACGGAUCUCUUGGCUCUCGCAUCGAUGAAGAACGCAGCGAAAUGCGAUAAGUAAUGUGAAUUGCAGAAUUCAGUGAAUCAUCGAAUCUUUGAACGCACCUUGCGCUCCCUGGUAUUCCGGGGAGCAUGCCUGUUCGAGUGUCAUUACACUCUCAAGCCAGAUGGUUUCUUAUGAAUUCAUCUUGGUUUGGAUUUGGACUUUGCUGUGACUCUUGAAGGCAUAGCUGGUCUUAAAUAGAGUAGCUGGCCCAUUUGAAGGCUUGGUUCUACUUGGCGUGAUAAUUAUCUGGCGUCAAGGACAUUCUCUAGGGAGUGGCCAAUCUUUGUCUGGACUGCUUCUAACUGU